Molecule: ribosomal RNA, 484 nt
Filed under: uncultured bacterium
Lineage: Bacteria
Description: partial 16S ribosomal RNA
Rfam family: Bacterial small subunit ribosomal RNA
Source: RNAcentral
GUUGAACGCUGGCGGCAUGCCUAACACAUGCAAGUCGAGCGGUUGAAGGGAGCCUUCUCCUGGAUUCAGCGGCGGGCGGGUGUGUGUUGCCUAUGAAUCUGCCUGGUAGUGGGGGAUAACGUCCGGAAACGGGCGCUAAUACUGCAGCCUUCCUGAGGGAGAAGGAUGGCGUUCUUUGGACCUCACGCUAUCCGUUGAUCCUAGGUCGGAUUAGCUAGUUGGGGGGGUAAGGGCCUACCAAGGCGACGAUCCGUAACUGGUCUGAGAGGAUGAGCAGUCACACUGGAAUGGGAACAGGCCCCAGACUCCUACGGGAGGCACCAGUGGGGAAUAUUGGACAAAGGGCGAAGGCUUGACGCAGCAAGGCGGGGUGUGGGAGGAGGGUCUUCGGAUGGUAAAGCACUUUAAGUGGGAAGAAAGGGCAGGAAGUUAAAACCUUGCUGCUUUGACGGUACCAAAAGAAAAAGCACCGGCUAACUACGUG